This is a long non-coding RNA of Olea europaea var. sylvestris, 834 nucleotides long. RefSeq lists it as uncharacterized. NCBI's taxonomy places the organism in Eukaryota, Viridiplantae, Streptophyta, Magnoliopsida, Lamiales, Oleaceae. The record is from RefSeq and is a predicted model, not a curated record. The transcript is spliced from 3 exons.
GAAACAAUUUGAGCUCUGAUACCAAAUUGACGUAGAAUACAAUAGAAGAAUUGUAGGAGAAGGGGAAAGGAGAGAGAGGGGAAGAUUGAAAUUGGGGAGAGAGAUCUAUUUAUUUCAUAUUCAAAUUUUGUUCUAUUAUGAAGCAAAAGCCCCUUUAUAUAGAGUUUCAAAAGAUUCUAUUCUAAGUUGCAAAUAUUUAAUAAAAACUAUUAAAUAAAACAUGAUUAAGUUUCCUAACAUAAUCCGUAAAAUUGAAGACUAUAUUAAAUAAAAACUCUUAUAAUAUUGCAUCACUAUUAUUUUGGUGUAGAUAGUAAACUGGAGAACUCAUUUAAAAUUUCCGGAAGAGGUAAAGAUUUCGCCAGAAGCAAAAGAUCUUAUCUGCAAGCUCUUAUGUAAUGUAGAGCAGAGGCUUGGAACAAGAGGCGCUUCUGAAAUUAAGGCUCACCGGUGGUUCAAAGGCAAUGAAUGGGAUAAGUUGUAUCAAAUGAAAGCUGCAUUCAUUCCAGAAGUUAAUGAUGAGUUGGAUACUCAAAACUUUGAAAAGUUUGAAGAGUCUGAAAAUCAAGUCCCAAUGACAACAAAAUCAGGUCCCUGGAGGAAGGUUGGUACAUGAAUUUGCAUUUAACAUUCUUAGCUAUAAUUUAGGAUUCUCCAUGGUGCUCGUCCACUUGGAAAACCAUUUCUAAUGCAGUAAAGUGCACAUAUUGUUAUUCUGUCUAUCUUGGUAAUAUUUUUUGUUAUUGAUCAUAGUAUGAAUCAGGGGCGGAGCUAGUAUAUUUUGUUGAGGUGGGCUAAAUCAUAAUUUGGGCUGGGUUAAUAUAUGUAUUAAAA